GAGCAAGCAGCGCUCUUAACCACUGAGCAUCUGCAAAUCCAUUUUUCAACCUUUGCAGAACUUGUGACCCCAUGAUGUAUGCCCACCCUUUUUCCUUGCUAAAUUCCUGAACCUGUGACAGAAGAUUGCCCUUUGCCUUACUAAAAUGUGUCUUCCCAGACACUUUGAUGGCUCCCCUUCCACAGGAUGUUUCCUUGCUCUUAUUUUUAUUGCCUCUUCUAACAGCCAAUUAUCCCAACAGCUGUUUUCUAUCAACCCUAACCUUUCCCCAUAAAAGGGACCUCAAAAACCAGUGAAGGAGUACUCUCUGAAAUCUCGACUAUGGGAGAGGUUGCUGGUCGGCCAGUUCUAAAUACAGCUUGCUUUAACCAGACUGCCAUGGAAUUGUUUAGAGGUUUACAGCUUGCCUGCUGAGAUAGCUAAUCUUGGUUGUCAGUUUGACCACAUCUGGAAUCCACUGAAACCUAAGCAACCGGGCACACUUGUGAGAGUUUUUCAUGAUUGGAUCAUGCGGGGUGGGAACCCCAUCCUGAAUCAGGGAUAUGUGAGGUAAGAACACCCACCUUAAAUCUGAGCCACACCAUCUGGUGGCAGCCUACAUAAAAGGACAUGGUAAUUAGCUGGUAUUAGAGCCUACUUCUUCAGGAUUCCAACACAGACUGAACACCAGCAGAGACAUGCAGCCUCAUGGACGGAACAAUGAACAGAUUCUUGACCUUUCCAUCAGGAGACAACCAUUGUUAGACUAGCUGGACCACAGCCAUGAUACACAAAACACGGUCCAGAACACAAGCUCCAGGAAGGCAGAUGUGGUAGUUUUAAUGGGAAAUGCCUCCAGAGAUUCAGCCCACAGUUGACCAGUUUCAGAGCCUGACCAGCUGGGCAGCACCGGAUGCAGUAGCCCAGGAUCUCGAGGUCCAUGCGGGUGAACCGAA
Molecule: non-coding RNA, 935 nt
Organism: Myodes glareolus (Bank vole)
Lineage: Eukaryota; Metazoa; Chordata; Mammalia; Rodentia; Cricetidae
Source: RefSeq, a predicted model, not a curated record